GAUGAACGCUGGCGGCGUGCUUAACACAUGCAAGUCGAACGGAAAGGCCAGUGCUUGCACUGGUACUCGAGUGGCGAACGGGUGAGUAACACGUGGGUGAUCUGCCCUGCACUUCGGGAUAAGCCUGGGAAACUGGGUCUAAUACCGGAUAGGACAAUGGUUUGGAUGCCGUUGUGGAAAGUUUUUUCGGUGUGGGAUGAGCUCGCGGCCUAUCAGCUUGUUGGUGGGGUAAUGGCCUACCAAGGCGUCGACGGGUAGCCGGCCUGAGAGGGUGUACGGCCACAUUGGGACUGAGAUACGGCCCAGACUCCUAUGGGAGGCAGCAGUGGGGAAUAUUGCACAAUGGGCGCAAGCCUGAUGCAGCGACGCCGCGUGGGGGAUGACGGCCUUCGGGUUGUAAACUCCUUUCGCUAGGGACGAAGCGUAUUUGUGACGGUACCUGGAGAAGAAGCACCGGCUAACUACGUG
This 468-nucleotide ribosomal RNA is filed under the name uncultured bacterium. RNAcentral's name for it is "partial 16S ribosomal RNA". It matches the Rfam family "Bacterial small subunit ribosomal RNA", at positions 28 to 507 of the family's 1533-position model. The record is from RNAcentral.